GACGAACUGUUAAGCUUCAAACAGUAAGAUGUAAAUGCUUGCAUAAGUAGUGUGCUAGAUACUGAAUCACUUUUUUGUUUUUAUUCUGCACCCCUCCUCCCAGCCUGGGAAAGCUUUACAUGAAGUGAUUCUUUGGUAUUUUUCGCAAAAAGUAAUAUGGGGCUGGGGCGGGAUAGGGGGAAUAUUGUACCCAUUUUCGUUUUAUAAAGACUCAAAAUUUUCUCCGAAUUGUUUAGUUUUAGCUUAAAAAAGAAAAUUAAGCCAGUAUAUUGUACAUGCCACAUAUAUGAAAUACCUCUUCUUACCAGAGAUGUUCCUGAAACAAAUCCUUAAAUAAAUCUUGCCCUAAGCCCACUUU
Molecule: long non-coding RNA, 358 nt
Filed under: Bos taurus (domestic cattle)
Lineage: Eukaryota; Metazoa; Chordata; Mammalia; Artiodactyla; Bovidae
Description: long non-coding RNA NONBTAT025133
Source: RNAcentral